Bufo bufo (common toad) is the source of this 249-nucleotide long non-coding RNA. RefSeq lists it as uncharacterized. The record is from RefSeq and is a predicted model, not a curated record. NCBI's taxonomy places the organism in Eukaryota, Metazoa, Chordata, Amphibia, Anura, Bufonidae. The transcript has 4 exons.
CUGAUGCCCAGUGAAAUGGUGGAACCUGACAUAUUCCCUGGUCAACUACAAGAAAAGAAUGACAAGACAGGUGACUGAUGCCCAGUGAAAUGUUGGAACCUGACAUAUUCCCUGGUCAACUACAAGAAAAGAAUCACAAGACAGGUAACUGAUGCCCAGUGAAAUGGUGGAACCUGACAUAUUCCCUGGUCAACUACAAGAAAAGAAUCACAAGACAGGUGACGGAUGCCCAGUGAAAUGGUGGACCUG